RNAcentral lists this ribosomal RNA (459 nucleotides) under uncultured bacterium. RNAcentral describes it as "partial 16S ribosomal RNA". It matches the Rfam family "Bacterial small subunit ribosomal RNA", at positions 338 to 795 of the family's 1533-position model. The record is from RNAcentral.
CCUACGGGGCGCAGCAGUGAGGAAUAUUGGUCAAUGGACGCGAGCCUGAACCAGCCAAGUAGCGUGAAGGAUGACUGCCCUACGGGUUGUAAACUUCUUUUGUAAGGGAAUAAAGUGAGGCACGUGUGCCUGUUUGUAUGUACUUUAUGAAUAAGGAUCGGCUAACUCCGUGCCAGCAGCCGCGGUAAUACGGAGGAGCCAAGCGUUAUCCGGAUUUAUUGGGUUUAAAGGGUGCGUAGAGGGAGCGGUAAGUCAGUGGGAAAAUGGAGGGGCUCAACCCGUUCCCGCCUUUGAAACUGGCGUGCUAGAGUGGAAGAGAAGUAUGUGGAAUGCGUGGUGUAGCGGUGAAAUGCAUAGAUAUCACGCAGAACCCCGAUUGCGAAGGCAGCAUGCCGGCUUCCUACUGACGCUGAAGCACGAAAGCGUGGGGAGCGAACAGGAUUAGAUACCCUGGUAGUC